AUUCUUUUGUGGUCAAUAAAUCUGAUGACUGAGUUUCCACACCAUUAUGUAUGGCUCUCUCUAACCUUGUUAUGAUGUCAAAAAAUUACCUGUCUGACA
Molecule: small nucleolar RNA, 99 nt
Organism: Octodon degus (degu)
Lineage: Eukaryota; Metazoa; Chordata; Mammalia; Rodentia; Octodontidae
Product: small nucleolar RNA U13
Exons: 1
Source: RefSeq, a predicted model, not a curated record